Numida meleagris (helmeted guineafowl) is the source of this 620-nucleotide long non-coding RNA. RefSeq lists it as uncharacterized. NCBI's taxonomy places the organism in Eukaryota, Metazoa, Chordata, Aves, Galliformes, Numididae. The transcript is spliced from 4 exons. The record is from RefSeq and is a predicted model, not a curated record.
AUGUCACUGAGAUGAAGCAGGUCUGUUGCCCUGGUGUCACCAAGGCUGUGCAUUUCUAAGGCUUGAUUUGACACCUGAUGCUUGGGAGUUAGAACCCUUGCAAGACUCAAAGAGUUUUGAGGGACACAUUCCUCAUGGUAAAUUCUCAAAGGGAUCCAACGGCUUGUCCACAGCAUGGGGGAGCAGAAAAUAAGAAACAUGGUGGGCAAGGGCUUAAUGAGAGCUGAAACACAGCAAACAUUACUACUGCAGUCAUCCACCAAUGAAGAGGACUGUAGGACGUGGAGACCUGCAGUGGAAAAGGUGUCCAGAUGUAUGUCAAGAAAUGAUGAGACAUCACUUCUUUUGUGGUUGAGAAAGAUCCCCUUCAUGACAAUCCAUCCUCCUCGUUCUUAAUUUUAAAAAGACUAAGUGCAGCUGAUCAAGAUUAAGUUUUGAAAACCACUGAAAAAGCUUUAAGCAUCCAGCAACAUUUGGCCGAAGAACAGAAGUGACACUUAUUCAGUAAAUUUAGCAGAGCUAAUCCAAACAAUUUGCCAUUAUCUUUGUGUGUGUGUGUGUGUCUGUGAGCAUACUUUAGCUUUUGGGUCUACUCCAGACUCAUUAAUCAUGCAGUAAAU